This 576-nucleotide unclassified non-coding RNA is filed under the name Bombus terrestris (buff-tailed bumblebee). RNAcentral's name for it is "misc RNA ENSBTSG00005029665.1". Lineage: Eukaryota; Metazoa; Arthropoda; Insecta; Hymenoptera; Apidae. The record is from RNAcentral.
GGGCGACGACAGCCGAGUGAAACGCGUUUAGCCGUGUUGAAAAAAAUCAUUCGUCCGGAAUAUGUUCGACGAUGUUCGUCAUAUUUUUAAAGAUCGAGAGAACGGUGUUACGCGAUGGCACGCGAGGACAUCGGAGCGCUUAUAGGCAGAGAUUGUGGAAAAGGUUUCGCUUGGAUUUGGAUUAGGUUCGGAGAAAACGUUUGGACGAACGUCUCUUGGGUCAGAUUUUAGGAAAGCAUCGUUGAAAUUCGACAGCUUCGAACGUACGCAGCGGCUGAUAGAAAUUCUACGCGAUAAACAAUUUUCUACUUCCACGGGUCAAGCUCGCGUUAGAUCAUAGAAUAGAUUCGGGUCGAGUUUGGAUAAGGUUUCGGGAAACUUUUACAUCGGCUUUAAGUUAAAUUCUGGAAAGAACGAUCCUGUUGGAAUUUUAGAUCUUCGAGUAUAAGCUGUCUUCCAUAAAUUAUAUUUCAAUCUCGCCAAAAGGUGUAUAUAAUAAAACUCUUGUUUAAGACCAACAGGUAAUCGUUCCUAAACGAUCUAGAUAUUAAAAAAAAAAAAAAAAAAAAAAAAAAA